Astyanax mexicanus (Mexican tetra) is the source of this 3449-nucleotide long non-coding RNA. RefSeq lists it as uncharacterized. The record is from RefSeq and is a predicted model, not a curated record. The transcript is spliced from 2 exons. Lineage: Eukaryota; Metazoa; Chordata; Actinopteri; Characiformes; Acestrorhamphidae.
UAAACAUUAGACGUCUUAUGGACGUGCAGAUCAUGUCUAUAUUGCGUCGGUCGGUCCAAGACCAAUUCUGUACGUCUACACGACGUGCAAACUAGGUCCGCUAUUUGGACGUCUAACUAUGACCCCACUUGGACGUCAAUAUGCAGUUAAACAUUUGAACGUCGGACUAGGUCACUUUUUUGGACGUCAUGGGGACGUCUAAUACAGGUGCAGGAAAUUAACAUUAUUUAAGAAUAUAUUUAUUUUUAAAUGUAUGUCAAAAUUGUUGUUAUCAAUAUUGUUAAUCACUAUGAAUAUAGAUUAUUUAUGAUUAAGCAUCAUUUAUUUCUAAUUAUUUAUUUGAGUAUUAUAUUUUUUAUCUAUUUAAUUAAUUAACGAAUGUAGGUAUUUAUUUACGUAUGUUUUUAUUUUUAUUUGGAAAUGCAAUUUAUGUGGAAAAUUGUUAAGUUGAUUUCAACCAGUCAACACCACUCUGAUUUGCUGAGACCGCACGUCAUCAUAAACUCCACUCUGAUAUGCCUAGGCAAAACACCCUAAACAUUUUUUGGCUGCUGCAGUAGCUCAGCUCAGCUCAGCUCAGCUCAUUCAGUUCAGCUCCGCUCCGGACCGGACUCAGCUGCCAAGCUAUAAGGUAAGACGAUAUGUAUAAUAAGUUAAUGUAUUUGUAGUGUUAGUUGUUUUAGCUCUGUGGUCUUAACCUGAACCUGCUGGCGUUGCCUCUCUUCCCAGGCAGUUAGCUAACUAGCUAGCUAGCUAACGAUAGCUAAACAGUGGCCAUAGUUAAAAUGGAAUUGGAAUUACUUUUGAGAACGACCGUAAUGCAAAUAAUAUUUACUGUAACCGAAGCUUUAACGUAGAAGCAUUGUCCGGUCAUUAAGUCAAUGCACUAACCAGAGCUAGGCUGAUAAGCCAAUCUAAGCUAAAUCAAAGAACCGUCUUUGGCUAAAUUCGCUAAGCUAGCGUUAAGUUAUAUAAGUUUGUGGCACCCACAAUUAACCUAGGCAACUGGGGGCAAUAUCAAGUGCAUUUUGAAUAGCCUGAAGAAGUAAGUUUAUGUUAAUAUUACAUAAAUAAGGCAAUUUAAAAUAGUUUGUUGUGGGAAAACAUUUAUUAAAAUAGCUUAAUAUGAUGUGUGAGAAUUAAAACGGCACGAUAAUUCUGGUCAGGUGUUAAAUGUGUAUUCCCGCCUUUAGCUUAGCGUUAGCUAAGCCAUAGCAUGAAGAAGUAAGUUUAUGUUAAUAUUACAUAAAUAAGGCAAUUUAAAAUAGUUUGUUGUGGGAAAAAAAUAUUAAAAUAGCUUAAUAUGAUGUGUGAGAAUUAAAACGGCACGAUAAUUCUCGUCAGGUGUUAAAUGUGUAUUCCCGCCUUUAGCUUAGCGUUAGCUUAUCGUUAGCUUAGCAUUAGCUAAGCCAUAGCAUGAAGAAGUAAGUUUAUGUGAAUAUUACAUAAAUAAGGCAAUUUAAAAUAGUUUGUUGUGGGAAAAAAAAUAUUAAAAUAGCUUAAUAUGAUGUGUGAGAAUUAAAACGGCACGAUAAUUCUCGUCAGGUGUUAAAUGUGUAUUCCCGCCUUUAGCUUAGCGUUAGCUUAUCGUUAGCUUAGCAUUAGCUAAGCCAUAGCAUGAAGAAGUAAGUUUAUGUGAAUAUUACAUAAAUAAGGCAAUUUAAAAUAGUUUGUUGUGGGAAAAAAUUAAUUAAAAUAGCUUAAUAUGAUGUGUGAGAAUUAAAACGGCACGAUAAUUCUCGUCAGGUGUUAAAUGUGUAUUCCCGCCGUUAGCUUAGCGUUAGCUAAGCCAUAGUGUGAAGAAGUAAGUUUAUGUGAAUAUUACAUAAAUAAGGCAAUUUAAAAUAGUUUGUUGUGGGACAAAAAUAAAUGGCCAUCUUCAACAUUUUCUGAGAUUUCUAAUUUGUCUUUUUCUACUUGUGCAGAUGGAGUCAUGAAAUGUGACGGGACAGCCACCGAGGACUUCAUACUUCGGAGCAUCUCAAACAUGCACCACAAAGACGUGGAGGACACACCGCUGUCUCUCAGGACCUAGAAUCUUAAUGAAAGUAUAAUGAUGUUAAGGGAAGGUGUAGUGGAAAGGUGUGAUAGUGUUGAGGGAAGGUGUAAUGUUAAAGGUGUGAUAGUGUUGAGGGAAGGGGUAAUGUUAAAGGUAUAAUAUUGUUAAGGGAAGGUGUAAUGCAGGGGUCUCAAACUCAUUUUUGCCGAGGGCCACAUUGACAUAUUGGCUGUCCUCUGAGGGCCAGAUGUAACUUACAAAUAUAAGAAAAUGUAACCAGAUGUAAUAUAAAAUGAAUGUAAUUACUCCUUAAUGUUAAAUAACUCUCAAUAUACUAUUUAUCCAAUCAAAUAUUACAGUUGCAUGGAAAAAUGUUUGCUUGUUGCUGUAUUAACAUAAAUCCUUUUAAUUUGUCAUGUUAUGAAAUCCAAAAACUCCAUCAAUCAAGAACCAAACUAUUCAAGUGAAUAGAAAUUACAUCAAGUACAAGUUAUAUUAACUUUGAUCAAAACGUUUGAUACUGAAAUAAGGCUUAAUAAAUAUAAAAUCAAAAAUUGUGAGCUGUGACAGAUUUAGCAUUUCCUCAGAUUUAGCAGUUCCUCAUCCAACCACUAGUCGGAGCUGCAGCUGCAGCACCACAAGCCCGCAGUCUUUGCUUAGUCAGAGCUACAGCCCAGCCACGGGCUACAGGACUCAGCUGAGCCUGUCUGGAGCGUUUUGAAAUUUUUUAAGUUCUUCUGUGUAUGAAAUAAAAUAACCCCACUAACCGGAUAAUACAGCUCUCUACAGUUCAUCUUUCAGCCCAAGCAGCUAACAGCAGCAGUUUAGAGCAGCGUCACGGAGGCACUGCUGGGAUUACAUUAUAAACAGGUCAGUUAGCGCUGCUAACCUCAGGAUGUUUAUAACUACGGAGUUUAGUGAACACACCACGGCAGCAAGGUUAGACUGUUGAAGGCUACUGAAGACUACUAAAGCAAGCAACGCAGCGUAAGCAAAAAAAAAACAAAAACCACACACACACACACCAAAAUACAAGUUAAGAUAAAAUAUGAAAACGAACAUAAUAAAGCAUAAAUUAUUAAAUUGAAUUGCGGGCCAGAUGUAUGUUUAUUUUGUUAACCCGUGAGGGGCCGUAUGAAACCGCGUGGGCCGGUACUUUGAGACCCCUGGUGUAAUGUAAAGGUGUAAUAGUGUUGAGGGAAGGUAUAAUAUUGUUAAGGGAAGGUGUAAUGUUAAAGGUGUAAUAGUUUUGAGGGAAGGUGUAAUAGUUUUGAGGGAAGGUGUAAUGUUAAAGGUGUAAUAGUGUUGAGGGAAGGUAUAAUAUUGUUAAGGGAAGGUGUAAUGUAAAGCUGUAAUAGUUUUAAGGGAAGGUAAAUGUUUAGUGAAAUUGUUAUGGUGUGAAUCUAAGGUGUAUGUUAUGUUGAUGUAAAAUAAAGGCAUUAACCCCAAA